CGACUUGUACUGUGAAACUGCGAAUGGCUCAUUAAAUCAGUUAUGGUUUCUUUGAUGGUACCUUGCUACUUGGAUACCCGUAGUAAUUCUAGAGCUAAUACAUGCAGGAGUGCCCGACUUCGGAAGGGCUGUAUUUAUUAGAUAAGAAACCUUCUCGGGUUCGCCCGGUUGUGUGCUGAGUCAUAAUAACUGCUCGAAUCGCACGGCUCUACGCCGGCGAUGGUUCAUUCAAAUUUCUGCCCUAUCAGCUUUCGAUGGUAGGAUAGAGGCCUACCAUGGCGUUAACGGGUAACGGAGAAUUAGGGUUCGAUUCCGGAGAGGGAGCCUGAGAAAUGGCUACCACAUCCAAGGAAGGCAGCAGGCGCGUAAAUUGCCCGAAUCCUGACACAGGGAGGUAGUGACAAGAAAUAACAAUACAGGGCUACUUCUAGUCUUGUAAUUGGAAUGAGUACAACUUACAUCUCUUCACGAGGAUCAACUGGAGGGCAAGUCUGGUGCCAGCAGCCGCGGUAAUUCCAGCUCCAGAAGCGUAUAUUAAGGUUGUUGCAGUUAAAACGCUCGUAGUCGGGUUUCGGGUCGGGCCGAGCGGUCUGCCGAUGGGUAUGCACUGUUUGGCGCGGCCUUCUUUCCGGAGACCGCGGCUACUCUUAACUGAGCGGGCGUGGGAGACGGAUCGUUUACUUUGAAAAAAUCAGAGUGUUUC
RNAcentral lists this ribosomal RNA (703 nucleotides) under uncultured marine Phaeocystaceae. RNAcentral describes it as "SSU rRNA". It matches the Rfam family "Eukaryotic small subunit ribosomal RNA", at positions 70 to 777 of the family's 1831-position model. Lineage: Eukaryota; Haptophyta; Phaeocystales; Phaeocystaceae. The record is from RNAcentral.